RNAcentral lists this ribosomal RNA (293 nucleotides) under uncultured bacterium. RNAcentral's name for it is "partial 16S ribosomal RNA". It matches the Rfam family "Bacterial small subunit ribosomal RNA", at positions 775 to 1067 of the family's 1533-position model. The record is from RNAcentral.
GGAUUAGAUACCCUGGUAGUCCACGCCGUAAACGAUGUCUACUUGGAGGCUGAGGUUUAAGACUUUGGCUUUCGGGGCUAACGCAUUAAGUAGACCGCCUGGGGAGUACGGCCGCAAGGCUAAAACUCAAAUGAAUUGACGGGGGCCCGCACAAGCGGUGGAGCAUGUGGUUUAAUUCGAUGCAACGCGAAGAACCUUACCUACUCUUGACAUCCAGCGAAUCCUUUAGAGAUAGAGGAGUGCCUUCGGGAGCGCUGAGACAGGUGCUGCAUGGCUGUCGUCAGCUCGUGCCG